ACAAUCCAUAUUUCAUGCAUAAAUAAUGUGAUGUGCCAUUGGCAGACAUAAAAACAUAACACAUUUUUAAAGGUCACUACAUAAUUUUCUGAGUUUGCAUACUUGUGAGAAGGAAGAACUUCUAUUCUCUUUUCCUACUGCUAGCUAACCUAAGAAACCUGAAAUGGUUUGAAGGACUCCCUUGGGGUCCUAUACCAUACUUUGAAAAUCCUUGCUCUAUACCUGAAGCCCCCUAGCACUGGAAAGUAGAGGAAAAGGAAGUCUCAAAGGUAUGGAACUCCCUCCUUAUUGACAUAAAUCAUUGACCUGCAACAAUUUUGAGGAACAGAACAGAGUUGGUGAGAAAGGAGUGCUCUGUUUCAGUUUCUUUAGUUCUCUCAAGUCUCUAAGUUCUUCGGUGCUUUGGACAUUUCUGGCUUCUAGCUUCAAAAAAGAAGAUGGAUAAUUCCAAGAACACUUCUUUGCUGAAGAGAAAAUGUCUCUGGGAAGAAGCUAACAUGAGAGGAACUGGCAGCCUCCAUCAUAUUCCUACUGUAGCUUGCUAUACUAGAGACUUCAGAGAACUUCCCCUGUGGGUGAAAUCUGGAACUCUCUAAUUCAAGCUAAAUUGUUUUGCUCUCAAUAAAAGUGCUCCUUCA
Molecule: non-coding RNA, 638 nt
Organism: Monodelphis domestica (gray short-tailed opossum)
Lineage: Eukaryota; Metazoa; Chordata; Mammalia; Didelphimorphia; Didelphidae
Source: RefSeq, a predicted model, not a curated record